RNAcentral lists this ribosomal RNA (229 nucleotides) under uncultured bacterium. Its description in RNAcentral is "partial 16S ribosomal RNA". It matches the Rfam family "Bacterial small subunit ribosomal RNA", at positions 568 to 796 of the family's 1533-position model. The record is from RNAcentral.
UGCGUAGGCGGAAUAGUAAGUCAGUGGUGAAAGCCUGCGGCUCAACCGUAGAAUUGCCAUUGAUACUGUUAUUCUUGAGUAUAGUUGAGGUGGGCGGAAUGUGUAAUGUAGCGGUGAAAUGCAUAGAUAUUACACAGAACACCAAUUGCGAAGGCAGCUCACUAAACUAUCACUGACGCUGAGGCACGAAAGCGUGGGGAGCAAUCAGGAUUAGAUACCCUGGUAGUCC